Molecule: ribosomal RNA, 255 nt
Filed under: uncultured bacterium
Lineage: Bacteria
Description: partial 16S ribosomal RNA
Rfam family: Bacterial small subunit ribosomal RNA
Source: RNAcentral
UACGUAGGGGGCAAGCGUUGUCCGGAAUCAUUGGGCGUAAAGCGCGCGUAGGCGGCCCGGUAAGUCCGCUGUGAAAGUCGGGGGCUCAACCCUCGGAUGCCGGUGGAUACUGUCGGGCUUGAGUGCGGAAGAGGCGAGUGGAAUUCCUGGUGUAGCGGUGAAAUGCGCAGAUAUCAGGAGGAACACCAAUUGCGAAGGCAGCUCCGCUGGGACGUUACUGGACGCUGAUGCGCGAAAGCGUGGGGAGCAAACAGG